Long non-coding RNA from Olea europaea var. sylvestris, 1319 nucleotides. RefSeq lists it as uncharacterized. The record is from RefSeq and is a predicted model, not a curated record. The transcript has 4 exons. Lineage: Eukaryota; Viridiplantae; Streptophyta; Magnoliopsida; Lamiales; Oleaceae.
CUCUAUCACCCAUCACUCGUCAGAGACCACGUUCAAUUGCUCAGGCCCACAAGAUUACAAAUUUGAGAAACCAACGGAUCAUGUUAAUUCAUCACCCCUCCCAAUCUUAAAAAAAUAUCCUACAUUUUGGCAAGUUGCUCUAAUGCUCCAGACAACCCCAACGACACCGAACAAGGGGGAAGAAGAGAAGGCUCAGUUUUAAGUUUUACUAGAUUUUGACUUUUUCUGGGUCAAGUCCGAACUCGGUAAAUGGAGUUCCCGUUGGUGUCGCGGGCUCUUAAUCCCCCAGUAACUUGGUUUUGUAAUUAUGAGUUGCCGGUGAGAAUAAUAGAGAUGAAAAAGAAGAAGGGAGUUUUGACAAAUAAUGGGGUGGUGAAAGCGGAGAGGAGUAGUGGUGCUGGUGGAAAAGCGGUGGAGAGAGAAGAAAGAGAGAGUCGGGUAUAUAGGACGGGUUCAGGUAUUGAGGUUAACAAUUUUAAUGAAAGCUUUAAUGAUGCAGAAUUUGCAGUCUGGGAAAAGAUUGGAAUUGAUGUUAGACUAAGUUAAGGAAUUGGUUCGAUCGUUCAAGAAUCAAAAGAGAAAGUUCCACAUUCAUAUUCUUCGGAAUCGGUUUAAUCGUUCAAGAAUCGAAAGAGAAGGUUCCACAUUCAUAUUCUUUGGAAUCGGACCUUUUGUGAAUUUUUGAAAGUUUUUGCUCAAUACGUAACGAACAUUAGCUGGAUCACAAGUCACCAACAUGUCCAUGUUGCCAAACCGUGGGCCUUUAAACCAAACAGUGGUGGAGCUCUCAAGAAGCUCGGUGAUAUAGUCGUGAAUUCUGUGAAUAUUGAAAAUUAGCAAUGGCAUCAUACCAAAAAGUGGCAAGUUUAUAUGCAGUAAUCUUUUCUUUCUUUUUCCAUCGAAGUUUCUGUAGGAAAGAAAAAUAGCAGACAAAAUUACAAGCAAUAGUAAGACGAAGUUUAUGAUGGCCAACAUAUCUGGUGCAUGUAUUCUGAAAAUCAAAGGUUAAAUGGUGAGGUUUCAUAAAUUUUGGCUGAUAAUGAUAUGCUGUGUGUCUUGUGGGUCUUUUAUAAUGGGCAUUUCUUCAAAUGAGCAAGUCAUUUUCGAGGACAUCAUAGUUAUUUCUGCCAUUUGGCUGGAGGUAAUUGUAAUGGACAAGCGUCCUGCUUCAUUGGUUGCAAAUGUCAUGUUUUCUGGCAAGAAUUAAAUGAGUAACUAUGAGAACUUUGGUAAUCUCAAACCAUAUACAUACAUCUUGCACGAGUCAAACACUCUUUGCAUUCGUCAUCUUUCCAUACAAAGUGUUGUAACUUUAAGUU